RNAcentral lists this ribosomal RNA (389 nucleotides) under uncultured bacterium. Its description in RNAcentral is "bacterial SSU rRNA". It matches the Rfam family "Bacterial small subunit ribosomal RNA", at positions 28 to 419 of the family's 1533-position model. The record is from RNAcentral.
GACGAACGCUGGCGGCGUGCUUAACACAUGCAAGUCGAGCGGUAAGGCCCUUUCGGGGGUACACGAGCGGCGAACGGGUGAGUAACACGUGGGUGACCUGCCCUCAGCUCUGGGAUAAGCCUGGGAAACUGGGUCUAAUACUGGAUAUGACUCACGGUGCAUGUCGUGGGGUGGAAAGCCUUGUGCGGCUGAGGAUGGGCCCGCGGCCUAUCAGCUUGUUGGUGGGGUGANGGCCUACCAAGGCGACGACGGGUAGCCGGCCUGAGAGGGCGACCGGCCACACUGGGACUGAGACACGGCCCAGACUCCUACGGGAGGCAGCAGUGGGGAAUCUUGCGCAAUGGGCGAAAGCCUGACGCAGCGACGCCGCGUGAGGGAUGACGGCCUGG